This 380-nucleotide ribosomal RNA is filed under the name uncultured eukaryote. RNAcentral's name for it is "partial 18S ribosomal RNA". It matches the Rfam family "Eukaryotic small subunit ribosomal RNA", at positions 592 to 976 of the family's 1831-position model. The record is from RNAcentral.
CAAUAGCGUAUAUUAAAGUUGUUGCGGUUAAAAAGCUCGUAGUUGGAGUUCUGCCAGGUGACACUCGUCCGCCCAAGUGGUGUGUACAGGGUGUGCAUCUGGCCCUUUCAAGGGGAACGUGUCUGCACUUCAUUGUGUGGUGCGAGAUCCUUGACUUUUACUUUGAGGAAAUAAGAGUGUUCCAAGCAGGCUCUCGUCGUGCAUAGCUCAGCAUGGAAUAAUAGCAUUGGACUUCGUUUCUACGCUGUUGGUUGCAAGAAGCGAGGUAAUGAUGAAGAGGGAUAGUUGGGGGCAUUCGUAUUUAACUGUCAGAGGUGAAAUUCUUGGAUUUGUUAAAGGCGGACUACUGCGAAAGCAUCUGCCAUGGAUGUUUUCAUUGA